GCGGGGCAACCUGGCGGCGAGUGGCGAACGGGUGAGUAAUAUAUCGGAACGUACCCAAGAGUGGGGGAUAACGUAGCGAAAGUUACGCUAAUACCGCAUACGAUCUAAGGAUGAAAGCAGGGGAUCUUCGGACCUUGUGCUCCUGGAGCGGCCGAUAUCUGAUUAGCUAGUUGGUGAGGUAAAGGCUCACCAAGGCCACGAUCAGUAGCUGGUCUGAGAGGACGACCAGCCACACUGGAACUGAGACACGGUCCAGACUCCUACGGGAGGCAGCAGUGGGGAAUUUUGGACAAUGGGCGAAAGCCUGAUCCAGCAAUGCCGCGUGAGUGAAGAAGGCCUUCGGGUUGUAAAGCUCUUUUGUCAGGGAAGAAACGGUGAGGGCUAAUAUCCUUUACUAAUGACGGUACCUGAAGAAUAAGCACCGGCUAACUACGUGCCAGCAGCCGCGGUAAUACGUAGGGUGCAAGCGUUAAUCGGAAUUACUGGGCGUAAAGCGUGCGCAGGCGGUUUUGUAAGUCUGACGUGAAAUCCCCGGGCUCAACCUGGGAAUUGCGUUGGAGACUGCAAGGCUAGAAUCUGGCAGAGGGGGGUAGAAUUCCACGUGUAGCAGUGAAAUGCGUAGAGAUGUGGAGGAACACCGAUGGCGAAG
RNAcentral lists this ribosomal RNA (649 nucleotides) under uncultured beta proteobacterium. RNAcentral describes it as "bacterial SSU rRNA". It matches the Rfam family "Bacterial small subunit ribosomal RNA", at positions 74 to 720 of the family's 1533-position model. Lineage: Bacteria; Pseudomonadati; Pseudomonadota; Betaproteobacteria. The record is from RNAcentral.